Molecule: ribosomal RNA, 223 nt
Filed under: uncultured bacterium
Lineage: Bacteria
Description: partial 16S ribosomal RNA
Rfam family: Bacterial small subunit ribosomal RNA
Source: RNAcentral
GACGAACGCUGGCGGCGUGCUUAACACAUGCAAGUCGAGCGGUAAGGCCCUUUCGGGGGUACGACGAGCGGCGAACGGGUGAGUAACACGUGGGUGACCUGCCCUCCAGCUCUGGGAUAAGCCCGGGAAACUGGGUCUAAUACUGGAUAUGACUCCAUGACGCAUGUUGUGGGGUGGAAAGCCUUGUGCGGCUGAGGAUGGGCCCGCGGCCUAUCAGCUUGUU